This 450-nucleotide ribosomal RNA is filed under the name uncultured bacterium. Its description in RNAcentral is "partial 16S ribosomal RNA". It matches the Rfam family "Bacterial small subunit ribosomal RNA", at positions 354 to 796 of the family's 1533-position model. The record is from RNAcentral.
GUGUGGAAUUUUGGACAAUGGGCGAAAGCCUGAUCCAGCCAUGCCGCGUGCAGGAUGAAGGCCUUCGGGUUGUAAACUGCUUUUGUACGGAACGAAAAGACUCUGGUUAAUACCUGGGGUCCAUGACGGUACCGUAAGAAUAAGCACCGGCUAACUACGUGCCAGCAGCCGCGGUAAUACGUAGGGUGCAAGCGUUAAUCGGAAUUACUGGGCGUAAAGCGUGCGCAGGCGGUUAUAUAAGACAGAUGUGAAAUCCCCGGGCUCAACCUGGGAACUGCAUUUGUGACUGUAUAGCUAGAGUACGGUAGAGGGGGAUGGAAUUCCGCGUGUAGCAGUGAAAUGCGUAGAUAUGCGGAGGAACACCGAUGGCGAAGGCAAUCCCCUGGACCUGUACUGACGCUCAUGCACGAAAGCGUGGGGAGCAAACAGGAUUAGAUACCCUAGUAGUCC